AAGGAAGUUGCAGGAGGAAAGUUGCUGUUUUGUUACUGUAUAAGGGUGGCACAUCUCUGCAGCUUCUUUUGGUGCACGUAGUAAGAAUGAGUAUAUAACAUGUAUGCCAGAAGGAAGUGGAAUUGGACAAAUACAGCAAGUUAAGGCAAUCCAAAGCUUUGAGACAAAGAAAAAAUAAAUCCAUUAGGAAGGACACGUAGGACAUGCAUGAACAACACCCAUGCAUACCACCUAAGAACUUGCUUUCUUGCUUGGAAGAACAAAUAGCAUUUUCUCUCUGAACUCUGUUCAUUUUGCAGACAAAGCUACCAAGCUCACUGGACAAAAGUACAAAAGUCAUAAGAGAAGUAGAAGGCUCAAUCUUGAUAAUUUUUCUCAUGCUAAGGAAAGCUUUCAACACACAGGAGGAACUGCCAUGUGGAUGUGAAAAAGCUCUUUUAAAGGAACAGCUACCAAUAGGCAAGUGAGCCAGAAUACUUUUGUGCAGGAAUGUGCGUUUCUCACAUAGCUCAGGCUACCAAAAGGAAUACAAAUAUUUGCAGGAGUAGAAAAAGAUGCAGAAAGGACAGUGAAUCCUCUCACUGCUGAAACACCCUAAGUAGAAGCAGUGGAGACUCCAAGGAGAAGAAGAGUCUGGAGAAAUCAGCAACUUAAGAGUAACAGUGAAUGAGAAGAAGAGACUGGGAGAGGGAAGAAAAAGGCCUCUGGAUUUCCACCAGAAUUAAACUGGAGAAAUGGGAGCAGGAGGGGCACAGGAGAAGCAGGUUAAAGAGAUUUUGCUCCUAUCUUCGUCAGCAAAGAGGGAGUAGGAAACAAGACCCGGACAGCAUUUCUCCCAAGUCUGCUGCUCUAGGCAACUGUUUACUUUGCUUUUGCCCAAGAUAGCGUGAGACGUUAUAAAAUGAGUUUCCACAAUGCUCUGAGUCACCAGAAUAUGGAUGAGAUCUGUGGAUUCAAGCCACCUUUCAAGAUUAUGAAUCUCUUCUGAAUAUCCAUUAUGCCAAUGAUACAUAACAAAAUCACUGCUGUAAUGUGAUGCACAUGUCAACUUUAAGGAUACAGUCCCUGCUCAGAUGGCAUCAGCAUAGGGAAACGUCAGCAUGGUGGAUUACCAGAGCAAAUGCUUUAACAUGCAAUGUGAUGCAAUGUGUUUUAACAACAAUUGUUCCCUUAUGUUUGUUUGUGUCAGGUUUGACGUGACUAUCCGCCAGGACAAUGCUCAGGAUUCUGUGUGUUGCAUUGCAGAAACUGAUUAUGUGAUCAAAUGCUUAAAGCACAUAAAAUCACGCCCAAGAUUCGAUGAGAUAUAUAUGCCAGAAAAUUCAGUAGGUGCUUAAAGUAAUUGACGCUAACAGCUAGACCUGGGUUUUUCAAAGGAAUAAGCGUUUUUGUUUGUUUGUUUUUCCUAAUGCAAUAUAAUAUAAACUGCCUAGAAAUUCAGCCUUAGCAUAAUGUUCAGAUCAAAUGAAAUUCACCCGUUAAGAAAGAACAUACACAGGGUCCUCCCUGAAGUGGAAAAGACAGCCUCUGAGUAGAACAGAUACCCUGGGAGACUUCUUACCCUGUGCACAUGCCCAAAAAGACAGCUCUGAAUCUAACUGCAUUGUAGAUCUAAUGCUUGUAGGAUUUGGAGGCUCAACGCUGAGCUGUAGCUCUCAGCAGCCCUUUUUCCCCAGUCCGUGAAACUCAGAAUCCAGUGGAGACAAAAACCUCUAUAGAAAUACUGUAUAUGUAAAUGGACUUAGAAGAAAAAGGGAGGGGUACCUGCUCUUAAAUUAGUCAUAUUUAAAAUGUAUUCUCAGAACACACUGAACUAUCAAACAGUCCCCAAAGUGAAGAAAUGUGAUUCUCAUUCAAGACUUAAGAGCAAAAGGCAAAACAACUGUGUCCCUUGCUCCAAAGUCAUUAUCUCACAUUAAGACUUCAUCCUGUUCUCCCAGUUCAGAAUUUAGUCUGGUUCUAAUGGCUCACUAGACAGUUUUGCAAGAUCUUCAUGCUCUCAUAGGUAUUUAGGCACUGAAAUCAGUGAGAAGUGGUACCUGUACACUUUCAGAAAUCUGUCUUUAAUUUCAACAUCCCAUAAAUUUUUUUAACAAAAACAUCCUUCAUCUUUUCUGCUUCACAAGUGAGUUGUGAAGCUUAAUUACACAAUGAUUAUGAAGUCCAGCAAAUACAACAUAUAUUAAGAGUAGUUAAUGAGAUUUCUGUCACAAGCAGACUCCCUCUUGUAAAAUAUUACUCACAUGUUGCAGGAAAAAAAACUCAAGAGAAAAAAAUACAGAUGCAUUAAAUAUAAAACAAAUCUAGCUUGAUUACUUCCACAAAUAAUAUGUUAUACAACUCUAAAACAUCUGUCAGGACAGCAUAGAGAAUAGCAUAGGCUUUUCUGACCAGAAUGGAAUCCUGUCAGCACGGAAUUCUGUCAGCACAUCCAUGUACUCAUUUUUACCUGCAGUGCCCAUCCAAGACAGGGCCUCCAGACCCACACACGAUCUGCUUCCCAUGAGAUCUAGUGGCUUAAAUACCUUCAAAGACCAGACAUGAAGUUCUGUUCCUUCAAAUCACAGAAUCAUGGAAUCAUAAAAUGGCUUGGGUUGGAAGGGACACCCAAGGAUCAUCAAGUUCCAAUCCCUCUGCUGCAGGCAGGGCCACCAACCUGUGGUGGUUGUAAAUAUUUCCCAAAAAGAUGCCAGCAUACUAACCAAUUACCACAUUUAACAGCACAGUGGAAGAUGGCUAGACAACUAUGAGCAGACAGACGAUCGUACAGAAGGCAUUGCUUGCAUACUUAGUGAUUUCUCAGGCCAUAACAAAGCAUACAGCCUAACUAGGGUAGGAGGACUCAAAAGAGGAAGACCAUUCCUUAAUAAUACAGAGCUCUUUGGCACAUUUCUUUUCUGUGAACAAACAGUGUAGCUGUUAAAAUACAUUUCCUGUUAGCAAUUAUGGCUCAGAGCUCACAGACGCUUUUACAGAACUUGGACAGGAGUGAUUUUCAGUACAUAGUGUCUCUAACAGCAAGUUAUAUUAAUAUUCACCAAAGGAAAACCUGUUUGUUGACCCAAAGUGUGACUGCUUACAAUUCUCUUCUUGUGAAAUUAUUUAGGUCCUGUGGGACAACUGUACUGAGCUUUUGACGCAAAUAUUAAAAUUCUAUUUAAAUGUACAAUGUUUUAAUGCAAAUUUUUACCAUAAAACCAAAUGCUCCAUUCAGUUAAAUUAAUAGAAUUACAAAAAGAUGUAAUGAUAGCAAUUAAGUCUUGAAAAUGCAAAUUUUAUAGUCAAGGACAAUUACCUCAUUUAUAGUAUCCUGGAAUGAUGCCAGAUGAAGGUAAUUUAGAUCUCCCUAGCUCACAGUUAUAUCAUGAAGGAUAUCUUAAUUUCAUUAGUACAACAAAGAUGGGUGAGAACUUGGACAAUAUGAAAAAAAAAAGGGAGGGAGAGAUGGGAGAGAAAAUUUGACCUUUCUCAUUUCACCGCAACUAGAAUACAUAGAUCUUACUAAAGGAUUAGUAAUAUUUCUUUCUAUUCCUAUCUCUGGGGAAAAAAAGGGGGGGGGGGGGGGCACUUUUUUCUUUUCUUUUUUUUUAUUAGCAGCAAUGGAACAUUAGUAUGAAAAAGGUCAACUCCCUUCAGAUUCUUAGAGCCACUAUGCCCACAUCACAACAGUUAUGGACCAUUCCUUCUUUCAGUUUUAAGGAUGAAUACAGCAUUGGCUCUUGGCUGACAGAGUAUCAAGCUAUGGCCUAGGGACACAUGGUUUUGACUCCAAUAUGAUUUAAAAUGUUCUUGAAAAAUUCUUCUUGCUCUUACAAAUACAGCCCCACUUCAUCCAAAGAGGCAAGUCAAAAAUCAUCAGUUUCUCAUUAGCAAGCAAAGAGUGAUCAAGUAGACAAAGAAUACAGAUUGAUAUGCCAUAGAUUCAGUAGUCUCCUUUGAAGGAAAAACAAAACCAAACUCUCAUACAAGUUCUUUAGCACAUUAUCAAGUUCAAAUAGGAGUUUGCAAUACUGCAGAUAUCCCUCUUCCUUUCCUUUCUCUUUGCUGUAGUAGCUACCCUUGACCCUUGAAGAGAUUUCAAAAAAAAAGCAUAUUAAAUAAGGUGCACCAUAAAGUUUAAUUUUAAAACUUUACAACUCUCAAUUUUUCUUCCUGGCCUGUUGUAGCCACUGCAAAGAAACUCAACUUCCAGAAAAAUAGCUGCAUCCACCUAAAAUCUUCUUACAUCAAAUUCCCUUACCAAACCUAACAUGUAGGCUCUGGAGAGAGCGGAAACCUCCAAGGACAGAGUAGCAAACUUCACCUCUCUCCUUAUCUUGAACACAACUAACAAAGAUAACAUGAAAAAGCCUUCCCAAGAGUAGAAAUAUCUGCUUACCGUCAGCAUUUGGUGGUUUUGCUGUAGAUGGUGCAUGCUGAAGCCAUCCCAACCUCCUGCUGACAAACCUUUCCUUAACACCCUGAGAUAGGCAGGUUCUAGAGGAUCGGCUUUAUAACUUCGAACAGCACCACAUAGCGACAGGAAUGCAGCAUUAGAAACCCCCAACACUCCUCAGAAAGGGUUUCUUCCAUCCAGUUAUUCUGUUUUAUGAAAAACAAGCCUUUUCUGAAGGAAAAAGUACCUUAAUUUUUCAUGUCAACGAUGCUAUCAGUCACCUCUGCCGCUUGAAAACAAUGGAUGACACUCUGGCUCAAGGAAAGCCACCUGCUUCCUUUGGGGUUAAGACGUCUUUUGGUGAAUUUCAUCUCCUAUCAAGCAAUAGCAAAAUUAGAGCUUGUACCACUAUUGCCUUCGUUCCGUGCUUUUGAUGCUUAUAAUCCCAUUACACCUGACAACUUAACCUGAGCUUGUUAUUCAUAGACAUGUAUGGUCUGAUGAAACAUUCCCAACUCCUGAAAAAUCUUUUUGUGUGUUGUUGGGAGAUUUGGCCUAAUAAGAAGUGCUUGAGUGGGUGUAGACUGGGUAUGUUUGUGCCAUAUUAUACAAUAUGGCUUAAAUUUCCAUGGCAUUUUAUUGGAAAGUGUGAACCUGACAAGCUAAUAGUUUGUGAAUCUGUUGAGUCUCUGCUGUUGCAUGGAGAAACGUUUUGUCUAGGCUAUUCCCAGUAUGCUUCAAUUGUAAAAAAAACAGGCUGCGAUCAUAACACAUCUUCAUGUAAAUCAAAGUAAAUUUCUGCAGGACAAUAUUUACCACUGUUAUGUACCGCAGAUCUCCCAAUUCCUCAUUUGACCUAACAGUCGGAAUGAUCUCAGGCCAGCAAUAAGCUGAAUACUGGUUGCUAAGUAAUAUUUAAUUUAAGCAUGAUGUUGUGGUCAACAAAAUGAAUUAGCAUUUUCUGCAUUAAUGAAGAUCCAGGCCUAAAAUCAAAUGAUGAUGUCAAAAAAUUAUGGAAAAUAUUAUUGAUCUAAUUCUUCCUUUUAUUACACUGACAGAGAAACAUGCUUCUUGGAAAUGUUACAUGUGAAGGAAGAAUUUUUCCUAUUGCAUCUUCUUUCAAGAGAUUCAGUUUUCUACUCAGGACUCCAAGAGAGUAAUUUACAUUUGUGAUCACCCAGCCAAUUCAAGGCAACUGUGGAAAGAAACACUAGUAAGAAUUCAUUUUGUUGAUCUUAUCAUAAAUGUGAGAGAGAUUUAACUUUAUCCUAAAUUCCACUAAAACCUAGAAUGCAAUAAAGAAAUAAUCAUACAUGAAUUUGAGUCAGUACUGUUCCUCAUCAUUAGGCCACCUGACAAGCUAGAAAGCAACUUCGCUAGUGCAUAUUCAUUCCAAAUUAAUACAGUAAUUCUGAAAACUGUUUCUUUUUUCCCCUACUUUUAUGCAUUUAUUGCUUUAUUUCUCUAUUGCUAUUUCCAGUCCAUAAUGCAAUGCAGCUUGUGGAAUGUAAUCCCCUUUCUUCUCCUGACCAAACUCCACUCUGAAUGCUGCAUGGAUGGGAUCCUUUCUUUUCUGUUUUUUUAAUGUUUUUCUUCUCACUUUACAUAUUCUCAAAAAUGAGAUGAAUUUCUGAUUAUUUUCCAUUUUCCCCACUUUAUGAAUAUUAGAGUGGUUUUCUUUUGCAAUGUGGCUUGGCCUGCAUUUCAAAGUCCACAUUUUGAGUGGUUCCCUGUGAUUUUUGGACACUUGGCAUUUUCUGGGUCCAACUCAGAGAACUGUUUGAUUUUCAAAUAUUCAGAGCAUUCUCAAAGCCUGUUAAGUACAGACAAUACUUUCAGUGUUCUUUAGGUCCUUUAGGCUUAUUUUUUCAUUAACCCAAAACUGAGGUAAAAAAAAUCCUGUGUUCUAUGAAUUCCACAGUGUUGUGCAGAGAAGGGCAGUGGGAAAACUGAGUUAAAUGCAGGAUUCAAGUUUUUCUGACUCUUGCACAACUUGUUGUCUAAUGGACCCCAUAGGCUCUCAGCAAUACCAGCUGUCUCUAAAAUUCAACCAACAGUGGAAAUGACUACCGCUGUUCUGUCCAUGGAAAGCAUGAAAAGGUUAUUUAAAAAAAAAAAAAAAAGAGUGGCUUGCUUAGAUAUCACACAAAUGUAUUUGCUUUUUUUUUACUUAGUGAAAAGGCUGUAUUAUAAAAGUAAACUUUUCAAAACAGAAAAAGUAGGUAUCAAAUACAGGAAAGAAACAAAAAGACUAUAAAGUAAUCUUUACAAAAGCAGAUUGCACUGACACUGUCUUGCUCACAGUAACACACAAAGUAAUUUCAUAAAACCCAGCUUUUAUCUUGUUCUAAUAAAACAUCAAGCUAGCAACAUUAUGGUGAGGGCUUUCAUUUUCUUUUUGAUAUAGAUUCUGAUUGGAAGUAUUAGCUGAUGCAGCAGGAUAAAUAAAGAAAUGCCUAGAUUGUUAUGGUUCCC
Molecule: long non-coding RNA, 6850 nt
Organism: Gallus gallus (chicken)
Lineage: Eukaryota; Metazoa; Chordata; Aves; Galliformes; Phasianidae
Source: Ensembl